Molecule: ribosomal RNA, 464 nt
Filed under: uncultured bacterium
Lineage: Bacteria
Description: partial 16S ribosomal RNA
Rfam family: Bacterial small subunit ribosomal RNA
Source: RNAcentral
CUACGGGUCGCUCCAGUGGGGAAUAUUGGACAAUGGGGGAAACCCUGAUCCAGCAAUGCCGCGUGUGUGAAGAAGGCCUGCGGGUUGUAAAGCACUUUCAGUGGGGAGGAAAGGUAAUAUUCGAAUAGGGUAUUACUGUGACGUUACCCACAGAAGAAGCACCGGCUAACUCUGUGCCAGCAGCCGCGGUAAUACAGAGGGUGCGAGCGUUAAUCGGAAUUACUGGGCGUAAAGCGUGCGUAGGUGGUUAGGGAAGUUGAGUGUGAAAGCCCCGGGCUUAACCUGGGAACUGCACUCAAAACUCCUUGGCUAGAGUAUAGUAGGGGAAAGUGGAAUUUCCGGUGUAGCGGUGAAAUGCGUAGAUAUCGGAAGGAACACCAGUGGCGAAGGCGACUUUCUGGACUAAUACUGACACUGAGGUACGAAAGCGUGGGGAGCAAACAGGAUUAGAUACCCGCGUAGUC